UUAAAGAGACAGGAUUUGAACCUGCACCAAAAAACUCAAAAUUUCAUGUACUUCCUUUAUACUACCCUAUA
Molecule: transfer RNA, 71 nt
Filed under: Heloderma suspectum (Gila monster)
Lineage: Eukaryota; Metazoa; Chordata; Lepidosauria; Squamata; Helodermatidae
Description: tRNA-Gln
Source: RNAcentral